Molecule: long non-coding RNA, 221 nt
Filed under: Capra hircus (goat)
Lineage: Eukaryota; Metazoa; Chordata; Mammalia; Artiodactyla; Bovidae
Description: lncRNA (ENSCHIG00010015165.1)
Source: RNAcentral
GGCCGGAGCGGCAGGGCGGGGAGGGGAGAGCGGAGUUCCUGGAAGGAGCCGCUCGGCGCCGCCGCUGCACAACAUGGCCUCCUCCGCCUCCUCGUCUGCGGCCGGCGCCGAGGGCACCCCUCCUGCGCAGGGUGACUAUGGAUCCUACUAUUCGCAGAGCUCUAGAAAGAUUCCCUAGAACUCAAGUUAUGUGGAUACAGUGAAGGUCUCCUGUAAAGAAG